UAAUCUAUCUGAAGCAGAUUCUCGUCUAGUUGUGGUAAACUUAAUUGCUCAAAAUUACCUGUUAUCACAAAUUCGACUAAAUCAUUAAUACUGAAAAAUAAAUGAAAACUACUAAAUGAAUAGUAACUUGGUGU
Non-coding RNA from Populus trichocarpa (black cottonwood), 134 nucleotides. The record is from Rfam. NCBI's taxonomy places the organism in Eukaryota, Viridiplantae, Streptophyta, Magnoliopsida, Malpighiales, Salicaceae.